This 340-nucleotide RNase P RNA is filed under the name Candidatus Aerophobota bacterium. RNAcentral describes it as "Candidatus Aerophobetes bacterium RNase P RNA component class A". It matches the Rfam family "Bacterial RNase P class A". Rfam says of the family: Ribonuclease P (RNase P) is a ubiquitous endoribonuclease, found in archaea, bacteria and eukarya as well as chloroplasts and mitochondria. Its best characterised activity is the generation of mature 5'-ends of tRNAs by cleaving the 5'-leader elements of precursor-tRNAs. The record is from RNAcentral. Lineage: Bacteria; Candidatus Aerophobota.
AUGAGAGAAUGGGUGACCGCGGGGAAAAUGUUCCCUGAGGAAAGUCCGGGCACCUCUGGUGACACUGGGUAAUCCCCAGAGAGGGUGACCUCUGGAAAGUGCCACAGAAACCACACCACCCGGCAGAUAAAACUGCCGGGAAAGGGUGAAAAGGUGGGGUAAGAGCCUACCAGCAGGAAAGUGAUUUCCUGGCUGGGUAAACCCUGUCAGGUGCAAGGCCAAAUAGGAGGUUUAACCUCGGGUGGGCCGCUUGAGGUCCAGGGUAACCUGGAUCCCAGAUGAAUGGUCACCGCCGGGAUAUUCCCGGUAACAGAACCCGGCUUACACUUCUCUCAUCCUC